Molecule: ribosomal RNA, 301 nt
Filed under: uncultured bacterium
Lineage: Bacteria
Description: partial 16S ribosomal RNA
Rfam family: Bacterial small subunit ribosomal RNA
Source: RNAcentral
CAGUAGCCGCGGGAAAACGAAGGGGGCUAGCGUUGUUCGGAAUUACUGGGCGUAAAGCGCGCGUAGGCGGACACUUAAGUCAGGGGUGAAAUCCCGGGGCUCAACCCCGGAACUGCCUCUGAUACUGGGUGUCUAGAGUUCGGAAGAGGUAAGUGGAAUUGCGAGUGUAAAGGUGAAAUUCGUAGAUAUUCGCAGGAACACCAGUGGCGAAGGCGACUUACUGGUCCGAUACUGACGCUGAGGUGCGAAAGCGUGGGGAGCAAACAGGAUUAGAUACCCCAGUAGUCCCUGUCUCUUAUAC